Molecule: long non-coding RNA, 199 nt
Filed under: Malus domestica (apple)
Lineage: Eukaryota; Viridiplantae; Streptophyta; Magnoliopsida; Rosales; Rosaceae
Description: long non-coding RNA (MDOM_LNC012362)
Source: RNAcentral
AAGUUAGCCUCGGCGGACAGGCUUAGGAUGCAGAGGUCAUUACCAAAGCAGCAAAGGGAAUCUUUGUUGAAGGAAUAGUGGAAGAUUGUGAUGAGGAUGGUGGCGAGGGUUCUGAUCCACCGACUAGAUAUUUUCUUCAUAGAAAACUUAAGGAGCAAUCUCAGAAUUUCAAUCGAGAAGUGAAAAGCAUACUUGAGGU